GUGCCUAUAGUUUAACGGAUAAAACGAUGGCCUCCUAAGCCAUUGCUCUGGGUUCGAUUCCCGGUAGGCACGCCA
This 75-nucleotide transfer RNA is filed under the name Clostridia bacterium. Its description in RNAcentral is "tRNA-Arg". It matches the Rfam family "tRNA". Rfam says of the family: Transfer RNA (tRNA) molecules are approximately 80 nucleotides in length. Their secondary structure includes four short double-helical elements and three loops (D, anti-codon, and T loops). Further hydrogen bonds mediate the characteristic L-shaped molecular structure. tRNAs have two regions of fundamental functional importance: the anti-codon, which is responsible for specific mRNA codon recognition, and the 3' end, to which the tRNAs corresponding amino acid is attached (by aminoacyl-tRNA synthetases). tRNAs cope with the degeneracy of the genetic code in two manners: having more than one tRNA (with a specific anti-codon) for a particular amino acid; and 'wobble' base-pairing, i.e. permitting non-standard base-pairing at the 3rd anti-codon position. The record is from RNAcentral. Lineage: Bacteria; Bacillati; Bacillota; Clostridia.